RNAcentral lists this ribosomal RNA (497 nucleotides) under uncultured bacterium. RNAcentral's name for it is "partial 16S ribosomal RNA". It matches the Rfam family "Bacterial small subunit ribosomal RNA", at positions 28 to 507 of the family's 1533-position model. The record is from RNAcentral.
GAUGAACGCUGGCGGCGUGCCUAAUACAUGCGAGUCGAGCGAACGGACGAGAAGCUUGCUUCUCUGAUGUUAGCGGCGGACGGGUGAGUAACACGUGGAUAACCUACCUAUAAGACUGGGAUAACUUCGGGAAACCGGAGCUAAUACCGGAUAAUAUUUUAAACCGCAUGGUUCAAAAGUGAAAGACGGUCUUGCUGUCACUUAUAGAUGGAUCCGCGCUGCAUUAGCUAGUUGGUAAGGUAACGGCUUACCAAGGCAACGAUGCAUAGCCGACCUGAGAGGGUGAUCGGCCACACUGGAACUGAGACACGGUCCAGACUCCUACGGGAGGCAGCAGUAGGGAAUCUUCCGCAAUGGGCGAAAGCCUGACGGAGCAACGCCGCGUGAGUGAUGAAGGUCUUCGGAUCGUAAAACUCUGUUAUUAGGGAAGAACAUAUGUGUAAGUAACUGUGCACAUCUUGACGGUACCUAAUCAGAAAGCCACGGCUAACUACGUG